This 253-nucleotide ribosomal RNA is filed under the name uncultured bacterium. Its description in RNAcentral is "partial 16S ribosomal RNA". It matches the Rfam family "Bacterial small subunit ribosomal RNA", at positions 524 to 776 of the family's 1533-position model. The record is from RNAcentral.
UACGAAGGGGGCUAGCGUUGUUCGGAAUUACUGGGCGUAAAGCGCACGUAGGCGGACUAUUAAGUCAGGGGUGAAACCCCGGGGCUCAACCCCGGAACUGCCUUUGAUACUGCUAGUCUCGAGUCCGGAAGAGGUGAGUGGAAUUCCGAGUGUAGAGGUGAAAUUCGUAGAUAUUCGGAGGAACACCAGUGGCGAAGGCGGCUCACUGGUCCGGUACUGACGCUGAGGUGCGAAAGCGUGGGGAGCAAACAGG